Molecule: long non-coding RNA, 199 nt
Organism: Thunnus maccoyii (southern bluefin tuna)
Lineage: Eukaryota; Metazoa; Chordata; Actinopteri; Scombriformes; Scombridae
Exons: 3
Source: RefSeq, a predicted model, not a curated record
UGGACCUGGCGUUAAGGGUUUCUGGUGGGCGAAAGACAAGAAGACAUGGAAGAAUUUGUGAAAAAUAUAAUUUAAUGUAAUGCCUUCAACUCCAUGUCGAAUUGGUAAACUCCCUGGCGAGAAGAUUGUUAUUCAAAGUUUCCCUCUUGAGGGAUAACCGGAAAGGGAGGGAUGGUGUCAUGAAAAACCAACAUCAAAC